AUCGGGUGUGUCUAUGUGCAGUGUUGUGUUGCCAUCCAAUUGGAAAUCUCAUAAAUAAUAUGCAAAAAUUGUAAUUGACAGUGUCCACAAAAUCAACAGCGUGCACAAUAAAAACAAGCAGCAGCAGUGGUUACAUCACAACCGAAAAGCACAGAAGGAGCAGCGGCAGGAGGCGGGGGAGCUGCAUGAAAUUGCAGUUGCGGCCUUCAACGCAAAAAGUAAAGAAAAGAAGUGCACAACAGACAGCGAAGACACAACAGUGGCAACGCCAACAGCUGCGACAUGUUAAGCCCAUUUACAACAAAAAUAAAAGAAAAGAAACGAAAUGAAAUGGAGAAAAAAACCAAAACUUGAAAUUAGUUUCUUUGGCGCGAAGAUGUCGUGGACGCAGGCGCUGCAGGCGCCGUAAACACCUUUCGCCGUUGCUGGAGUCCCUGCCGGUUGCAUAAUUAAUGGCAUCUUCUCAUUGAUCUCGACGUUUAUUUAGGUUAUGCAUGGCCAACGUUUGGCAUAUGAAGUGGAACAAGUUUUUUAAUGACCGCCUGCAUGCGCUGAAGGACUUGUAUAAACACAAAUGGUCAAUAAAUAAAAACAUUUAUAUACAUUACA
This is a long non-coding RNA of Drosophila montana, 609 nucleotides long. RefSeq lists it as uncharacterized. The transcript has 2 exons. Lineage: Eukaryota; Metazoa; Arthropoda; Insecta; Diptera; Drosophilidae. The record is from RefSeq and is a predicted model, not a curated record.